RNAcentral lists this ribosomal RNA (253 nucleotides) under uncultured bacterium. RNAcentral describes it as "partial 16S ribosomal RNA". It matches the Rfam family "Bacterial small subunit ribosomal RNA", at positions 524 to 776 of the family's 1533-position model. The record is from RNAcentral.
UACGAAGGGGGCUAGCGUUGCUCGGAAUUACUGGGCGUAAAGCGCACGUAGGCGGAUUGUUAAGUUGGGGGUGAAAUCCUGGAGCUCAACUCCAGAACUGCCUUCGAAACUGGCGAUCUUGAGUCCGGGAGAGGUGAGUGGAACUGCGAGUGUAGAGGUGAAAUUCGUAGAUAUUCGCAAGAACACCAGUGGCGAAGGCGGCUCACUGGCCCGGUACUGACGCUGAGGUGCGAAAGCGUGGGGAGCAAACAGG